This 495-nucleotide ribosomal RNA is filed under the name uncultured bacterium. RNAcentral describes it as "partial 16S ribosomal RNA". It matches the Rfam family "Bacterial small subunit ribosomal RNA", at positions 28 to 507 of the family's 1533-position model. The record is from RNAcentral.
GAUGAACGCUGGCGGCGUGCCUAAUACAUGCAAGUAGAACGCUGAAGGAGGAGCUUGCUCUUCUGGAUGAGUUGCGAACGGGUGAGUAACGCGUAGGUAACCUGCCUGGUAGCGGGGGAUAACUAUUGGAAACGAUAGCUAAUACCGCAUGACAACAGUUGUUGCAUGAUAACUGUUUAAAAGGGGCAACUGCUCCACUACCAGAUGGAGCUUCGUUGUAUUAGCUAGUUGGUGAGGUAACGGCUCACCAAGGCGACGAUCCAUAGCCGAACUGAGAGGGGGAUCGGCCACACUGGGACUGAGACACGGCCCAGACUCCUACGGGAGGCAGCAGUAGGGAAUCUUCGGCAAUGGACGGAAGUCUGACCGAGAAACGCCGCGUGAGUGAAGAAGGUUUUCGGAUCGUAAAGCUCUGUUGUAAGAGAAGAACGAGUGUGAGAGUGGAAAGUUCACACUGUGACGGUAUCUGACCAGAAAGGGACGGCUAACUACGUG